UUUGAAAAAGUCUCGUCCUAUUAUGGCUAUAUUUUAAAUAGUGAUAUCAACUGGAAGACAGAAUCCAGGAACGCACAGAUCCAAUUGUAUGUAAAGAAGCACACAAUUCAAGCUACUGAAUACAAAUGACUGGAUUUAAAAUGAGCAGAUAUAAAAAAUUAGUCUAUGAUAAUGUGCUGGCUAGAAGAUACUAUCUUUAAACAUCACAGCCAAAAAUGUACUUACAUUAACUGCUCUCUUUUAGGUUCUCAAAAUGAACAUUAAAUUAAAGGACUACUAAAGUCACCCAUACCAAUGUAUCUCAGUGGUCCCAACUUUUUGACCCUGUUGUGUAAAACAUUGCUUUUUUGUAGACAGCCACUAGAGGUGCUUCCUCCUCCAGAACUAAG
Non-coding RNA from Pelobates cultripes (western spadefoot toad), 389 nucleotides. The record is from the annotation of a GenBank genome assembly. NCBI's taxonomy places the organism in Eukaryota, Metazoa, Chordata, Amphibia, Anura, Pelobatidae.